CACACGAGGCAUCUUUAGGUGUUGACAUAUAACAUAAGAUUCCAAAAACAAUAACACCCUCCUCUCAAUUCAUCAUUCAUCUUCACCUCAUUUGUUUUUUCAAUUUAUUUAUAGGUGAAACUAGGGAUUUUGUUGGGCUGCUCAGUGGUUACAUCACACAUUAUUGUUUUAUUAGGGAACAAAGCCGAACUAUAGUAAGCUGCUUUUGUUUGAUCUUAGAACAUUGCAUUCUUCUCUCCAAAGAGUUCUUUGGCUAUCUACUCUGCCCUACUAAUGACUACUUCAAGGCGCGUAGCAGACAGGAAGGUUGCAAGGUUUGAAAGGAACAUUGCAAAGAGAUGUUCCGAAAACAAGAAAGGAUUCUUUCCUUAUCCAAUUCGCCACAUCUUGAUUGGUUUCCUUCUCUCCAUCCUCAUCGGUUCAUCUCUGUUUGUGAUCAUUAGGACCGCAUCAAGCCGAGGGUUGUGAACGUUUACUACUGUAGUCUGUGUAGUUUAUAAAACAUCCAACAGGUUUCUAAAAGAAAUGUUAUAUUAGAGUCCACCUUAGAUCAGCUGAAUGUUGAUCCAGAGUGAAUUCAGAACUGCUUUGAUAUGAUAAUGAAUAAAUAGUGAGUUUCUAGUUCUGUUAAAAUGCCCUGUUUUUAUUUAAGGCCUGUGCCCAACAAGCUAACUUGGUGUAGUGAAGUCAUAAUUCAUAGCAACAUUUGAUUCUUACAUGUGUGGAUGCAGUACUAAAAUUAUGUAAAAGAAUCUUGCUAAGAAUAAAUUACUUUAUUAUCCUAUAAACCCAAAUAUCUUUGGUUCA
Arachis stenosperma is the source of this 807-nucleotide long non-coding RNA. RefSeq lists it as uncharacterized. Lineage: Eukaryota; Viridiplantae; Streptophyta; Magnoliopsida; Fabales; Fabaceae. The record is from RefSeq and is a predicted model, not a curated record. The transcript is spliced from 3 exons.